UACGGAGGGUGCGAGCGUUAAUCGGAAUUACUGGGCGUAAAGCGCACGUAGGCGGUCAGGCAAGUCGGGUGUGAAAGCCCUGGGCUCAACCUGGGAAUUGCAUUCGAAACCAUCUGGCUAGAGUCCGGGAGAGGAGAGUGGAAUUCCUGGUGUAGCGGUGAAAUGCGCAGAUAUCAGGAAGAACACCCGUGGCGAAAGCGGCUCUCUGGAACGGUACUGACGCUGAGACGCGAAAGCGUGGGGAGCGAACAGG
Molecule: ribosomal RNA, 253 nt
Filed under: uncultured bacterium
Lineage: Bacteria
Description: partial 16S ribosomal RNA
Rfam family: Bacterial small subunit ribosomal RNA
Source: RNAcentral